AAGUAGAACGCUGAGGACUGGUGCUUGCACCGGCUCCAAGGAGUUGCGAACGGGUGAGUAACGCGAUAGGUAACCUACCUCAUAGCGGGGGAUAACUAUUGGAAACGAUAGCUAAUACCGCAUAAAAGUGUUUAACCCAUGUUAAACAUUUAAAAGGUGCAACUGCAUCACUAUGAGAUGGACCUGCGUUGUAUUAGCUAGUUGGUGAGGUAACGGCUCACCAAGGCGACGAUACAUAGCCGACCUGAGAGGGUGAUCGGCCACACUGGGACUGAGACACGGCCCAGACUCCUACGGGAGGCAGCAGUAGGGAAUCUUCGGCAAUGGACGGAAGUCUGACCGAGCAACGCCGCGUGAGUGAAGAAGGUUUUCGGAUCGUAAAGCUCUGUUGUUAGAGAAGAAUGAUGGUGGGAGUGGAAAAUCCACCAUGUGACGGUAACUAACCAGAAAGGGACGGCUAACUACGUGCCAGCAGCCGCGGUAAUACGUAGGUCCCGAGCGUUGUCCGGAUUUAUUGGGCGUAAAGCGAG
This 530-nucleotide ribosomal RNA is filed under the name Streptococcus dysgalactiae subsp. equisimilis. RNAcentral's name for it is "bacterial SSU rRNA". It matches the Rfam family "Bacterial small subunit ribosomal RNA", at positions 59 to 569 of the family's 1533-position model. Lineage: Bacteria; Bacillati; Bacillota; Bacilli; Lactobacillales; Streptococcaceae. The record is from RNAcentral.